RNAcentral lists this non-coding RNA (23 nucleotides) under Cricetulus griseus (Chinese hamster). The record is from RNAcentral. Lineage: Eukaryota; Metazoa; Chordata; Mammalia; Rodentia; Cricetidae.
GAACUCCUGUUCUACACUUCCCC